UCACCAGAUUCUUAAGAGAAACUUUUUAUAUUGAAAAAACGCAGUACAGGGCGCUGGGCGGCCUGUUUUGGGCGCUGGGCGGCCAGAUAACUUAAGGGGAAGGUUUCUGGCACCGCCUUGGGCGCUGGGCGGCCUCUGCAGGCCGCUGGGCGCCCAGUACAUCUUCAAAAUCCAUUUUUCUUGCCAAAACAUGCCAUCUUCCUUGAAUCUUCAAUCCUACAAUACAAGUUGAGAUUAAAAUCAAACUUAAGCACAUCUUAGCCUAAAGUUCACCUAUCAAUAAGUUCUAAUCAAAAUAAGUAGGAUUUGAUCAAGAUUUAUCAUGAAUUCAUAAGGAUAAAUGCCUAAGUUACUCAUCGAAAUUAGGUAAAAUUGGCACUUAUCAACUCCCUCCAACUUAACACUUUGUUUGUCCUCAAACAAAAGGUAAUGACUUAAAUCAAACAAGCAUGACUUAAACUUUUUCAAAGCUAAAUUUGCAAGAUCUCACAAAGAUUGAAUC
Molecule: long non-coding RNA, 502 nt
Filed under: Lotus japonicus
Lineage: Eukaryota; Viridiplantae; Streptophyta; Magnoliopsida; Fabales; Fabaceae
Description: long non-coding RNA (LJAP_LNC001206)
Source: RNAcentral